AAUGGGGGAAACCCUGACGCAGCAAUCCCGCGUGAGUGAUGAAGGCCUUCGGGUUGUAAAGCUCUUUUAGUAAGAAAGAAAAAAAUGACGGUACUUACAGAAAAAGCACCGGCAAACUUCGUGCCAGCAGCCGCGGUAAUACGAAGGGUGCAAGCGUUACUCGGAUUUACUGGGCGUAAAGCGUCCGCAGGCUGUUUAGUCAGUUUGGUGUGAAAUCCCACUGCUCAAAGGUGGAAGUGCAUUGAAUACUGCUAGACUAGAGUAUAGGAGGGGAGAAUGGAAUUCCUGGUGUAGAGGUGAAAUUCGUAGAUAUCAGGAGGAACAACGGAAGCGAAGGCGAUUCUCUGGACUAUUACUGACGCUCAUGGACGAAAGUGUGGGGAGCAAA
This 388-nucleotide ribosomal RNA is filed under the name uncultured bacterium. RNAcentral describes it as "bacterial SSU rRNA". It matches the Rfam family "Bacterial small subunit ribosomal RNA", at positions 370 to 772 of the family's 1533-position model. The record is from RNAcentral.